AAUCCGACCUAGGCUCAUCCAUUAGCGCAAGGUCUUACGAUCCCCUGCUUUCCUCCGUAGAGCGUAUGCGGUAUUAGCCCGGCUUUCGCCGGGUUAUCCCCCACAAAUGGGCAGAUUCCUACGUAUUACUCACCCGUCCGCCGCUCUCAAGAGGAGCAAGCUUCUCUCUACCGCUCGACUUGCAUGUGUUAGGCCUGCCGCCAGCGUUCAAUCUGAGCCAGGAUCAAACUCU
RNAcentral lists this ribosomal RNA (232 nucleotides) under uncultured bacterium. RNAcentral describes it as "partial 16S ribosomal RNA". The record is from RNAcentral.